AGAUGGAGGUUCCGGUUCCGGUGCAGUGUCUGGCUGGUUGCGUUGCUACGGCAGCGCGGUUGAGCGCUCUCGUCUGUGUGAUCGGGGCUUCGCUGACUUUCCGGCCUACUUAAGCCCCUGGGCCUGGGCCCAGGAAGGGUUUGUUGAACCGGGAGCUAAGAAGGGAAUUGGCUCGUUCGACAGACGUUUUCUGCGCAGCUGUGGCGUGCAAGGCACGGGGCCGGUGCGGGACCUCCAGAGAGACCUGUGCCCAAAGCUUGAGAAAUGAGAAGCAGAUUCCUGGAUUCCAGGUAAAUCAGAGGAACAAACCUGAACAGAAAUAUACAGGAAGUGAUGUGAUGCUGAAGCUUAACGCUUAUUUCAGAAGUCUGGUAUCUGGUGCUCUUAACAGCAGAAACUAUAUUAUUUGCAAAAUCACCACGCUUUUACUUGUAUUAUAUAGUAAUUUUUUAAAAAAUAAAUAUUGACAAUUUGUUCU
RNAcentral lists this long non-coding RNA (478 nucleotides) under Sus scrofa (pig). RNAcentral describes it as "lncRNA (ENSSSCG00000048556.2)". The record is from RNAcentral. Lineage: Eukaryota; Metazoa; Chordata; Mammalia; Artiodactyla; Suidae.